This 1215-nucleotide ribosomal RNA is filed under the name Triticum aestivum (bread wheat). Its description in RNAcentral is "partial small subunit ribosomal RNA". Lineage: Eukaryota; Viridiplantae; Streptophyta; Magnoliopsida; Poales; Poaceae. The record is from RNAcentral.
AUGGAGAAAGCGGUGCUCUGCCUAGUCUUGAUCUUGGUAGCCUUGCUUGGCUGCAAGGGUGAUCCAGAUAUUGUCACAGAAGGCGACUACGUCAGGAUCAAACGUAGCUUGCUGGCGAUCCUGAUAGUGUUCCCCGUCAUGAUGCUGGCCCUCGCCCUCGCCAUCGUCAAGUACCUGACGCCCAAGGGAAGAUCAGACGAUGACACCAUCGGCUCGUCCGACGACGAGAUGAAGGUGCACGGCGGGGAGGUGAUCAACCGGUGGUCGGGGCUGUACAGGUUCACCAAGGCCGAGAUCGAGCGGGCGUUGGACUACGCCAACAGCCGGAUCUACCUGGGGUCCGGCAGCGCGGGGCAGGUGUACCAGGGGGUGCUGCCCAGCGGCCAGCUCGUGGCCAUCAAGCACAUCCACCGGACGGCCAUGUCCGGCUCCUUCACCAGGGAGGCGGACGGGCUGUCCAAGGUCAGGCACCCCAACCUCGUCUGCCUCUUCGGCUACUGCGACGACGGCAGCGACCAGUACCUCGUCUACGAGUACUGCGCCAAUGGCAACCUUGCCCAGAAUCUCCUCAGAAGUGACUCUGUGCUCUCAUGGCCGACAAGGGUGAAGAUCCUUAGGGACUGUGCAUCUGUACUAAGGUUCCUUCACACACACUCCGAUGGGUGCAUUGUACAUAGAGAUAUUAAGCUUACCAACAUCUUGCUGACAGAGGACAUGGAGCCUAAGCUGUCUGAUUUUGGGCUGGCAAAAAUGCUGCAAAUGGAGGAGACCAAGGUCUUCACCGAUGUGAGGGGAACCAUCGGCUACAUGGAUCCGGAGUACAUAACACACUCCAAGCUUACCUGCGCAAGUGAUAUCUACAGCUUUGGUGUGGUUGUGCUGCAGCUUCUGUCAGGAAGAAAGGUCAUAGAGCUUGACAUUGUUGCGCGCGAUUCUCUCACCAAGAAGGCAAAAGAUGUCGUAACUGGGAAAAAACCACUGGAUGAAUUCAUAGACUCGCGCGUUCGAGAUGAAGUUAAUAUCGAAGAUUUUGUAUUGAUAUUAAAGAUUGGAGUCCUCUGUGUGGCACACUCUAGCGUAGGACGUCCAACAAUAAAAGAUGUGUACGAGGAGAUGGACAAAGCAUGGAGAAAUACAAACACAAAGGCUACUAGGUCAAGGAAGGAGAUAAAUUCGUCAAAUACAGCACAGUAUGCAAAAGUGAUAGAUGUGUAG